UUAUGCGAUACUUGGUGUGAAUUGCAGAAUCCCGUGAACCAUCGAGUCUUUGAACGCAAGUUGCGCCCGAUGCCAUUAGGUUGAGGGCACGUCUGCCUGGGCGUCACAUAUCGAAGCCUCUUGCCAAUUUCCUAAUGAUAGGUAUUGUGCAGGGUGAAUGUUGGCCUCCCGUGAGCUCCAUCGUCUCAUGGUUGGUUGAAAACUGAGACCUUGGUAGUUUGUGCCAUGAUAGAUGGUGGUUGUGUUACGCACGAGCCCAAAUAAUCAUGUGCUGCUCUAUCGAAUUUAGCCUCUUUUACCCAUAUGUGUUUCUAAACGCUCGUGAUGAGACCUCAGGUCAGGCGGGGCUACCCGCUGAAUUUAAGCAUAUCAAUAAGCGGAGGAAAAGAAACUAACAAGGAUUCCCUUAGUAACGGCGAGCGAACCGGGAUAAGCCCACCAUGAGAAUCGGUCGCCCUCGGCGUUCGAAUUGUAGUCUGAAAAAAGCGUCAA
This 492-nucleotide ribosomal RNA is filed under the name Trifolium alexandrinum. RNAcentral describes it as "eukaryotic LSU rRNA". The stretch from base 328 to 492 matches the Rfam family "Eukaryotic large subunit ribosomal RNA", at positions 1 to 165 of the family's 3401-position model. The record is from RNAcentral. Lineage: Eukaryota; Viridiplantae; Streptophyta; Magnoliopsida; Fabales; Fabaceae.